Molecule: ribosomal RNA, 796 nt
Filed under: uncultured archaeon
Lineage: Archaea
Description: bacterial SSU rRNA
Rfam family: Archaeal small subunit ribosomal RNA
Source: RNAcentral
ACGGCUCAGUAACACGUGGAUAACCUGCCCUUGGGUCCGGCAUAACCCCGGGAAACUGGGGAUAAUUCCGGAUAACGCACAUAUGCUGGAAUGCUUUCUGCGUAAAAUGGAUUCGUCUGCCCAAGGAUGGGUCUGCGGCCUAUCAGGUAGUAGUGGGUGUAAUGUACCUACUAGCCUACGACGGGUACGGGUUGUGAGAGCAAGAGCCCGGAGAUGGAUUCUGAGACAUGAAUCCAGGCCCUACGGGGCGCAGCAGGCGCGAAAACUUUACAAUGCGGGAAACCGUGAUAAGGGGACACCGAGUGCCAGCAUCCUAUGCUGGCUGUCCGGGUGUGUAAAAUACACCUGUUAGCAAGGGCCGGGCAAGACCGGUGCCAGCCGCCGCGGUAACACCGGCGGCCCGAGUGGUGAUCGUGAUUAUUGGGUCUAAAGGGUCCGUAGCCGGUUUGGUCAGUCCUCCGGGAAAUCUGACAGCUCAACUGUUAGGCUUUCGGAGGAUACUGCCAGACUUGGAACCGGGAGAGGUAAGAGGUACUACAGGGGUAGGAGUGAAAUCUUGUAAUCCCUGUGGGACCACCUGUGGCGAAGGCGUCUUACCAGAACGGGUUCGACGGUGAGGGACGAAAGCUGGGGGCACGAACCGGAUUAGAUACCCGGGUAGUCCCAGCCGUAAACGAUGCUCGCUAGGUGUCAGGCAUGGCGCGACCGUGUCUGGUGCCGCAGGGAAGCCGUGAAGCGAGCCACCUGGGAAGUACGGCCGCAAGGCUGAAACUUAAAGGAAUUGGCGGGGGAGCAC